This 439-nucleotide small RNA is filed under the name uncultured Glomus. RNAcentral describes it as "SSU rRNA". It matches the Rfam family "Eukaryotic small subunit ribosomal RNA", at positions 569 to 1013 of the family's 1831-position model. Lineage: Eukaryota; Fungi; Glomeromycota; Glomeromycetes; Glomerales; Glomeraceae. The record is from RNAcentral.
AGCAGCCGCGGUAAUUCCAGCUCCAAUAGCGUAUAUUAAAGUUGUUGCAGUUAAAAAGCUCGUAGUUGAAUUUCGGGGUUAGUAGGUUGGUCAUGCCUCUGGUAUGUACUGGUCUCACUGAUUCCUCCUUCCUUAUGAACCGUAAUGCCAUUAAUUUGGUGUUGCGGGGAAUUUGGACUGUUACUUUGAAAAAUUAGAGUGUUUAAAGCAAGCUAACGCUUGAAUACAUUAGCAUGGAAUAAUGAAAUAGGACGUUCGAUCUUAUUUUGUUGGUUUCUAGGAUUGACGUAAUGAUUAAUAGGGAUAGUUGGGGGCAUUAGUAUUCAAUUGUCAGAGGUGAAAUUCUUGGAUUUAUUGAAGACUAACUACUGCGAAAGCAUUUGCCAAGGGUGUUUUCAUUAAUCAAGAACGAAAGUUAGGGGAUCGAAGACGAUCAGAU